Juglans regia (Persian walnut) is the source of this 1173-nucleotide long non-coding RNA. RefSeq lists it as uncharacterized. The transcript is spliced from 3 exons. The record is from RefSeq and is a predicted model, not a curated record. NCBI's taxonomy places the organism in Eukaryota, Viridiplantae, Streptophyta, Magnoliopsida, Fagales, Juglandaceae.
CAAAACAAAGUCAGCCGAAGGAUAGACAUCAUGUGCUUCAUUAGAUAACCUCUCAGUCACAUAUUGUUAGAAGAACUAAAACUGGAUCUUUUUACACUGAGUUUAGCUCAGUGAAUCUGAUUUGCAGAGAAAAAAAUCGGAUAGAAAAGGGGAAAAAAUGGGUACGUUGAGAGUGGCAAAUGAGGUUCCUUCUGCAAACGAAUACUGUAGGCGACUCUAGAAAGCCUUCGAUGGUGUGUCCCUGAUGAGUAGGAUGCGGAACGGAUUAGAAGGCCAUAAUACAAGUAUUGGGGUGCAGGAAUGCAAGCCAAAGGAGGAUAAUUCAAGACCGAUAUCAGCAGCUUUACAAUGAAUCACUCAUCGAUCGUCUCUAUUCUGAACUUUCUGGUGAUUUUAGAAAAGCAGUGAUUUUGUGGACACAAGAUCCUCCAGAAAGGGAUGCUAAACUGGCAAAGGAUGCAUGGAAGAGAAAGAGUAAAGGAAUCAAACACCUAGAAGUAAUAGUUGUGGCAGCAUGUGCAUCAUCUCCUCACCAUCUGAUGGCAGUCAGGUAGGCAUACUGUUUUCUCUUUGAUUGCUCACUUGAAGAGGAUAUCACUUUCAGUGUCGAUAUGCCACUCAGAAAGGUUAGGCAAUCUCUAUCAUAAAACAUAAGAUGCAAACGUUUGACAAAACAGUGGUAUUAAGAUCAGGCUUGUGUCUAGUGUCACGAAACAUGCCCAUGGCAGCAUAUUAUAUAAGCUUAUUUCAGGGGUGCAUUGAUGUCCAGUCUCUAGUGCUCAGGUCCGUCCACGUAGCUUAGUUCUGUGCAAUUUGAAUGAGUGUGGCCAUUUGAAAUUUCCAUAAUGAGGAUCUUGUGCAGCUUUUGGCAAGUCUAGUGAGCCCCUACAGGUUUGACAAAGAAGUGGUGGAUAUGGUGGUAGCUAAAUCAGAGGCAGCUACCCUACAUGAAGCCAUCAGAACAAAGCAAUUAGUUGUGAUCCUGUUGUGUGGAUACUCUGCACAAUAAAUGUCUUUCAGCUCAAAGCAACUUUUGCCUGAUACAAGCAAAACUUUGGAAACUCCAUUGACCAGGUUUAGCUUUUACAUUAGCUAAUCAAUGGAUACAUAUUUUUUUGGAAUAUCAUUUGUGAUAUUUUCAUCACAAUUAGCCUCGUUUGUUUUCGGAGAUGA